CGACCUCUGAGAUCGUCAAAUCCAAUUUAUGACCGAACACCAGCCUGCCGACUAGACCUUGGCACUAAGUGCCACGUCCUGUCUUUCCUUAAACAGCUCCGGGGUGCGCAGACCAUUCCAAUGUCUGACCACCUUUUCUGUGAAGAAAUUCCUUCUGAUGUCGAAAGUGAAGCUUCCCCGGCAGAGUUCGAGAUGAUGCCCUCUCGUCCUGUCACUGGUUUCCUAGGAGAAACUCCUAGGUUCUUCCUAGGAAAUGAGGCCGCCCCUGCCACCUGGCUACACCCUAUUUUCAGGUAGUUUUACAGAGCGAUAAAGUCACCCCUGGGUCUCAUUUUUUUCUGAGCUAAACACCCCCGGUUCCCUCAGCUGCUUCUCACAGGACUUGUGCUCCAGCCUCUUCCCCAGCUCCCUUGCUUUUCUCUGGACAUGCUCCAGCACCUCAAUGUCUUGUAGUGAGAAGCCCAGAAAUGGAUGAAGGAUUUGAGGUGCAGCCUUACCAAUGCUGACUGCAGGGUGAGUCACUUUUGUGGUCCUGCUGACCAAGCUAUUUCUGAUUCAGGCCAGGAUGCCAUUGGCCUUCUUGGCCACCUGGGCACACACUGGCUCAUGUUCAGUUGCUGUCAGCCAGCACUCCCAGCUCCUUUUCUGCCUGGAAGCUUUCCAGGCACUGUACCCUAAGCCUGGGCCACUGGGGUUGCUGUGACCCAAGUGCAGGACCCAGUACUCGGUCUCACUGAACCUCUUAAAAUUGGCCUCAGCCCAUCGAUCCGGCCUGUCCAGAUCCCUCUGCAGAGCCUUCGUAUUAUCCAGCAGAUCAACUCUCCCACAAAACUUGCUGUCAACUGCAAACUUGCUGAGGGUCAACUUGAUCCCCUUGUCGAGGUCAUUGAUAAAGAUGUUAAACAGAAGUGGACGCAGUACUGAUCCCCGAGUAGCGCCACUAGUGACCAGCUGCCAGCUGGAUUGGUUCCAUCCACCACCACUCUCUGGGCCUGACAUCAAGCCAGUAUUUCAUCCAGCAUACAGUACACUCACCCAAAUCAUCAGCAGCCAGCUUCUCCAGGAGAAUGCUGUGGGAGACAGUGUCAAAGGCUUUACUAGAGACCAGCGCCGGGGCACCACCAAGUGGCAGCAUCGUGAGGAGCCGAGCUCUCGUCGGAAAAACAUUUCUGUCUUAAGAAAGAACAAAGGGAGCAGAUCCGCACCUGGAAAUAGCCAAUUUUAGUUUGAUUUGGCUGAUAAAGUCAUGCCUGGGUGCCUUGAGCCAAGACUCAGCCCAGGCUGAGGAAUGGGCUUAGAGUUAAAUGUUGCAUUAGGAGAAUGAAGGUCAUCAUGCCUAGAGAUGCACUUGGUGUGGAGCUACCAAGAACUGCCAUAAAGAGGUAGGACAUGAAAAGAAUUCUUUCAUCAGGCCAUGGCUGGGUAUGUUGGAGAAGGCUCAGCUGAUGUCUGGGAUUAGGGUUAAUGUUAACAUUACAUACCUGGUUGGGAGAGAGAUAAAACCUGGGGCUAUAGUUGGUGUGGGGCAGAAAGGGAGCAGCCAGAGUAAGGCUGCAAAGAUACCUUUUCCCUGAAAUCUUCUUAAUCUGGGUGCUGGUUCAGGAUCUGUAACUAAGGUUCAACCCAUCCUUUGCAUUCAUACUAAGUCAGACUUUUAACAAGGCAAAGCCUAGAACUCCAUUUUGAUAAAACAAUUUGCUGUAGGAAUUCUCUCAGGAUAACUUGUUCAUCACGGCUAUGGCUUGGGGUCUUUGGCUGGUCUCUGCAGAUAUCAGGUGUUGGAGUUGUGUUUACAGUUAGGCUUAGGGACAGUAAGCAGGCCAAGUUUGAAUCCCCAUUUGGAGUGGGGCAGGAAAGAAUUAUUCUGAGAAGUUUCUCAUCUGGUUGAUGGUUAGGGGCUUUGGGCUGUCUCAGUUUGAAUCUAUGAUUAGGGAUCUGCUAAUGUUCAGCUUUGGGAAAAGAGAGAAAGCCUAGCAGUUCAUUUGGUCAGGGAUUGAAAAAGGAUUGCAAAAGGAAGUGACGGGGGCAAAAAUAAUUGUUCCCCAAGGACACAUUCACCUGGGCUAUGGCUUGAGAAUCUUGAGCUAGACCUCCCUUGACACCUAGGUUUGGGAUAAGAGUUGGAAGAGACACAAAGAGUAGAAGCUCCAGUUUACUCCAUUUAAGCCUGGAAAAAGACCUCCAAAGGAAAGAGUAGAAUAUCAGAAGAAUUCUCUCCUGAAGUCCUGUGCUGUUGUCUUGGUGUAGAGACAAGUUUAGGAGAAAAACACUCUGGAAUGAGUGUUUCCUCUAAAAAACAGGAGUUCCAACAAUCAUUGUCUGCCAAUAAGAAAUGAAACUAGUGGAUGAAAGUGAAAAAAAACCCCAGCCAUUUAUUGAUAAUCAGAGUGCCCAUAUGGAGCAGUAAAAAAGUAAAUAAAUGCUAGAUAUUGCAUUGUCAGAACUUAGAACAUUGUCCCCUCCAUCCCCAUGCACAUGCACACACUGGAACAAAAAUCCAAAAUGCCAGGGAAAGAAAAAAACAACAGCAGUUUGCCACUUGGUGGGGGCAAAAUGGCAUGAGUUUUCAGGGGAAUAAAAACCAACCAGAAAAACUCCCAGUAGUUUCAAAGAGAAGUUUGGGCAAACAGAUGUGAAACCUGGUGAGUCUCUGACAUCGGUCCCCUCUUCACAGCAGAUGAGGCAAUUGAGCUUUCUCUUGCUGACCCAGCUUUUUCCAAGACAUGGGGCCAAAAUGGAGAGGCCCUUUGUCUUUCCUGCCAGUUUCUUGGAUCUCAGACCAACAACAAACCACUCUCAGUUGACUUUGAAGAGCUGCUGAAGAACUGCUGCUGCAGCCUCUCCAAGGUCAGGGAAAGAAACAAAAAAACCCUUCUGCCUUGGCUAACAAAAAAACCUCAUGCUAGCCAAGCAAAAACCCAGACCACAUGCCACGAGGUGAGGCUUUGGAAAAGCCCACCGAAGAGCUCCAAGGCUCCCUUCUCCUCCCAGACCUUAAAGGUACAGCAACCAUUUUUAGGCAUGAAGAAAGCUGUAAAGGAAUAGACUAAUCAUCAGAAAAUCACCCCAAGACAACUAUGCUUAAAUUUACAUGAGGAAAUGUUUAUCUGAAUCAUAGCUAGGAAUUCAAGGACUCAUCCAACACAGUGUCUGGGGUAGUUGGGGAGAAGUCCACAUGAACACAUAAAUUUGGGACUGGGAGAGAGACAAAGCACAGAGCUUAGUUAGGAGAGAAGCUUGAAGAAGGUUGCUGAAGGAAGGUGCGUGUUGCAAAAAGUUAUUGUCCCCUGAGAGUUUGUUUACCUGGGACAUGGCUGGUGGACCUGGGCUAGCACUCAGUUGUCUUCUUGGAGUGGUCAAAACAAGACUUUGAGCAGUUACAGUUUUUCUGAUGCAGUGCUUCUGGAAGGAUUUCUUUCCUAAGGGAAAAGGAAGAGUUCAGUUAUACGAGUGAACCCAUGUUCUGCUCUGACCUUCAAAGUUCACCUAAUUUUAUAUUUCUUUUUUUUUUCUGUUGGCAUGAUCAGCUUUUUGAGCUGAGACAGAAUCCUAAAUCAAAAUUCACUAUUAAGGAGUAAUGUGUAUU
Molecule: long non-coding RNA, 3586 nt
Organism: Cyanistes caeruleus (blue tit)
Lineage: Eukaryota; Metazoa; Chordata; Aves; Passeriformes; Paridae
Source: RefSeq, a predicted model, not a curated record